AGCAGUAGCCACGGUAAUACGUAGGUGGCAAGCGUUGUCCGGAAUUAUUGGGCGUAAAGCGCGCGCAGGCGGAUCAGUCAGUCUGUCUUAAAAGUUCGGGGCUUAACCCCGUGAUGGGAUGGAAACUGCUGAUCUAGAGUAUCGGAGAGGAAAGUGGAAUUCCUAGUGUAGCGGUGAAAUGCGUAGAUAUUAGGAAGAACACCAGUGGCGAAGGCGACUUUCUGGACGAAAACUGACGCUGAGGCGCGAAAGCCAGGGGAGCGAACGGGAUUAGAUACCCGAGUAGUCCCUGUCUCUUAUACA
RNAcentral lists this ribosomal RNA (303 nucleotides) under uncultured bacterium. RNAcentral's name for it is "partial 16S ribosomal RNA". It matches the Rfam family "Bacterial small subunit ribosomal RNA", at positions 507 to 809 of the family's 1533-position model. The record is from RNAcentral.